AAUCCUUUGUUCAUAUCAUACUUACAUUUUAUUUUUUUAUCUCUUUAUUGCAGGUGAUCCUGUAGUACAACAAAUCCUUUGUGGAAUGAGGCAAGGUAUAAAUAAAUUACGAGACACCCCAAGAAGACAUUUCUACUCAGAUGCACCUUGUUUCAUGCAAGCACACCAUGAAACUCACUUAAAAGCUAAUAUGCCCCGCCAGCAUCACUAGCUUCUGCCAGAAGAGGAUGAGAAAUCAAGUUUCCCCAUUGGUUUUAUCAGAGAAGAAACUAUUGAACAAUUCCUCAAGUCCCUGGCCAAAUUCCUCACUGAGCCAACUCUAGGUUUCCUUAGCCAAAGAACUUGGCAUCCAAACAGAAGUGUCAUCACUGGAUAAUGGAUGUACUGGAAUCAGCCAAGCCACCCGUCCGGCAGCAGGAUAUUUGACAGUCCUUCUGAUUAAAGAAAAGAAGGUGCUUUACAAAGAAGUUCUUCUCAUUUUCAUGAAUUUUCAAGAUUCUUGGCUAAGUCUUCCCUGUAAUAAAAGAUGGACUAACAUGAAAACAACAAACCGAAGUUCGGUAACAUGUAUGCAUCCUGGGUACCUGGAAGAAACCCAAGAAAGCUAAGUAACUCCCCCAGUGGUCCAAGCCAUCACCUUAAAUACUCCUCUGCCUAAAGAUAGA
This 665-nucleotide long non-coding RNA is filed under the name Mustela putorius furo (domestic ferret). RNAcentral describes it as "lncRNA (ENSMPUG00000029626.1)". Lineage: Eukaryota; Metazoa; Chordata; Mammalia; Carnivora; Mustelidae. The record is from RNAcentral.